Molecule: signal recognition particle RNA, 291 nt
Filed under: Microcebus murinus (gray mouse lemur)
Lineage: Eukaryota; Metazoa; Chordata; Mammalia; Primates; Cheirogaleidae
Description: Metazoan signal recognition particle RNA (ENSMICG00000030504.2)
Rfam family: Metazoan signal recognition particle RNA
About the family: The signal recognition particle (SRP) is a universally conserved ribonucleoprotein.
Source: Rfam by way of RNAcentral
AGGUACAGUGGUACACACCUGUAGUCCCAGCUACUUGGAAAGCUGAGGCAGGAGGAUCACUUGAGCCCAGGAGUUCUGGGCUAUACUAUGCUAUGCCUAUCGGGUGUCCUCCAAGCAUUAAUAUGGUGACCUCCUGGGAUCAGGGGACACCACCUAAGGAGGGAUGAACCAGCCUAAGUGAGAAAUGGAGCAGGUCAAAACUCCAGUUCUGAUCAGUACUGGGAUCUUGCCUGUGAAUGGCAACCGCACUCCAGCCUGGGCAACAUUGUGAGAGUGUGAGACCCUAUCUCU